GCCUGGCUGGCUCAGUCGGUGGAGCCUGAGACUCUUGAUCUCGGGAUGGUGAGUUCGAGCCCCACGCUGGGUG
This 73-nucleotide transfer RNA is filed under the name Ailuropoda melanoleuca (giant panda). It matches the Rfam family "tRNA". From Rfam's summary of the family: Transfer RNA (tRNA) molecules are approximately 80 nucleotides in length. The record is from Rfam by way of RNAcentral. Lineage: Eukaryota; Metazoa; Chordata; Mammalia; Carnivora; Ursidae.